Molecule: ribosomal RNA, 355 nt
Filed under: uncultured bacterium
Lineage: Bacteria
Description: bacterial SSU rRNA
Rfam family: Bacterial small subunit ribosomal RNA
Source: RNAcentral
GUAGGUUGCAAGCGUUGUCCGGAUUUACUGGGUGUAAAGGGCGUGUAGGCGGAGAUGCAAGUUGGGAGUGAAAUCCAUGGGCUCAACCCAUGAACUGCUCUCAAAACUGUAUCCCUUGAGUAUCGGAGAGGCAAGCGGAAUUCCUAGUGUAGCGGUGAAAUGCGUAGAUAUUAGGAGGAACACCAGUGGCGAAGGCGGAUUGCUGGACGACAACUGACGGUGAGGCGCGAAAGCGUGGGGAGCAAACAGGAUUAGAUACCCUGGUAGUCCACGCUGUAAACGAUGAAUACUAGGUGUGCGGGGACUGACCCCCUGCGUGCCGCAGCUAACGCAAUAAGUAUUCCACCUGGGGAGU